This 300-nucleotide unclassified non-coding RNA is filed under the name uncultured fungus. Its description in RNAcentral is "sequence contains 5.8S rRNA gene, ITS2". The stretch from base 1 to 71 matches the Rfam family "5.8S ribosomal RNA", at positions 84 to 154 of the family's 154-position model. The record is from RNAcentral. Lineage: Eukaryota; Fungi.
GUGAGUCAUCGAAUCUUUGAACGCACAUUGCGCUUUCUGGUAUUCCGGAAAGCAUGCCUGUUUGAGAAUCGAUCAACACUCAUCAAUCAUUUUGCUUUCAUUGGCACCUUGAACGAUGGAUUUGGGUUAUUUGCGUUUCAGCAAUGACCUUCAAAACAAUGUAUGACCAUGGUCUGUUUCAGCAGUGCUAAGGUUUGAGUGCAUGAAUAAGGUAUUUCCUUUUAUGAUUUCGCUCAUGCUUUGGACAACGCUUGGAAUGACUUGGUCAUCUCAAAUUAACUCACUGUGUGGUUCAGUUUG